GGGCAUUUGGCACAGUGGUAGCGCGCACGCUUCGCAUGGUGCAACUGCGUGAGGUCCAGGGUUCAAUCCCCUGAAUGUCCA
The sequence is a transfer RNA, 81 nucleotides long. It matches the Rfam family "tRNA". From Rfam's summary of the family: Transfer RNA (tRNA) molecules are approximately 80 nucleotides in length. The record is from Rfam.